Molecule: ribosomal RNA, 253 nt
Filed under: uncultured Eubacteriales bacterium
Lineage: Bacteria; Bacillati; Bacillota; Clostridia; Eubacteriales
Description: uncultured Clostridiales bacterium partial 16S ribosomal RNA
Rfam family: Bacterial small subunit ribosomal RNA
Source: RNAcentral
UACGUAGGGGGCAAGCGUUAUCCGGAUUUACUGGGUGUAAAGGGAGCGCAGGCGGCGCGUUAAGCCUGGUGUGAAAGCCCGCGGCCCAACCGCGGGACUGCAUUGGGAACUGGCGCGCUGGAGUGCCGGAGGGGUAGGCGGAAUUCCUAGUGUAGCGGUAAAAUGCGUAGAUAUAUGGAAGAACACCAGUGGCGAAGGCGGCCGCCUGGCCUGUUGCUGACGCUGAGGCACGAAAGCGUGGGGAGCAAAUAGG